Molecule: long non-coding RNA, 1050 nt
Filed under: Parus major (Great Tit)
Lineage: Eukaryota; Metazoa; Chordata; Aves; Passeriformes; Paridae
Description: lncRNA (ENSPMJG00000007552.1)
Source: RNAcentral
UAUAAUAUAAUAAUAUAAUAUAAUAUAAUAUAUAAUAUAAUAUAAUAAUAUAUUAUAUAACGUUAAUAUAUUAUAUGACAUUAAUAUAAUGUUAAUAUUAGUGUUAAUAUUAAUAUCAUAUAUUAAUGUUAAUAAUAUUCAUAUAUAGAAUAAAAUAUAAUAGAAUAAUAAAAUAAUAAGUGCUCUGGUUUCCAGCCAUAUAAACGGUGGCCAAGAAACCCCUCUUGUUGUCCCAUGGAUCAGGGAAUCCCCUUGCAGCUGGAGUUGUGCAGGAAAAGGGGAUUUGCCAGCCCUAGACCCACCACGGUGGUUUGGUGGUGAAGAGAACCGUGGUGACUCCCAGCUUCAGGAGUGCCAGGGAAAACUCAGGCACAUCCAAGUUUUCCAAUCCCUGCAUUUUCCCUUCAAUCAAGACCCAUAUUUUCACCUCGGGGUGGAGGGGGUGUGUCUCAAUUUUGAUUAUUCUCUGCUCAUUCCUUCAGAACGAGGAAGACAGAAAAUCUUGGAAGCAAAGAGGAAGGAAAAAAACCCCAGCCAAACCCCUGUAAUCAGCAGGAAAUUCAGGAGAGUUUCAGUUCUCAGAGAGCAGCAAAGAGGCAUCACCCUUAUUUUGUGGGGGAAUUUUGAGCUUGUCUUCUUGCAGCUAUAUUACCAAAACCACGAUGUUUGGCUUUGGGAUUCCUGAGAAACAGAAACUGCAGUGGAGAGGAUUGGGAAGAGCUGGAUGCACACAGUAAAAGAAAAGCAAUUUACGAAGAAAAGAUUUUUUUUUGUUGUUUUAUCAAAAGGAGAAAACGAACAAGAGUGAGUGACCAGCCUGGGCUGAAUAUCCCAACUCUUUCACCUCCUACAGCUCAGACGAGUGACAGGAGGGGUGGUUUAAUUGAUGGCAAACAUUACAGCCGGUGCUGAAUUCUCCAGCCAGGGCAGGAGAGACUUUUAUAGCAGGGAACACGGGGAGCAUUGUGAAAGAUGACUUUGGGCAUUUCUGGGUUAGACUGCAGCAAAAAAAAAAUAAUAAAAAAAAAUAAAGCAAUUUUGCUUUAAUCA